This is a long non-coding RNA of Peromyscus leucopus (white-footed mouse), 409 nucleotides long. RefSeq lists it as uncharacterized. Lineage: Eukaryota; Metazoa; Chordata; Mammalia; Rodentia; Cricetidae. The transcript has 2 exons. The record is from RefSeq and is a predicted model, not a curated record.
AUGAACUGAGCUAUAAGGAGAGAAGCAGAAAGAAGCUGGGAGGCAAGAGAUGCUCUGGCACCCUAGAGGGAAGUCUGCAGAGCACAGAUAACCCCUCUGGGCAUUGGAGCCCAGCAUGGAGGAACAAGGAGACGGUGGUGUUUGGCCGAGUAGACUGUGUGUCCAGAAUCGAUGUAUUGAUCUUCCUGUUCCAGUCCAGCAGAACUCACCGUCCUUGCCCUCACCACUCUUGGCAACAGCCUUGUGAUCUCAUUAUUAAAUUACCAACCAGAGUGUUUGGAACAGUUUCUGCCAGGCACUGGUCUGCGCUGGUCCUCAACAGGCCUCUUCAGAAUAUUUAUUGUACACCCUGGGAUGGUGGGCAUUUAAUCGCUCUUUGUGGUCAAUAAAUUGAGGCUUUGGGAGGCGA